CUGAAAUCCUUGUCAAAAAAUGUAAUGACAGGUGAGGAAUUACAAUUUCAUUCCAACAUAUGUUUAAAAUGUUACAUAUAAAAAUUCUGAGUUCAAGGAACCCAAAAGUUGAAUUCGCAGCUUACAAAAAGAUGCAAAUUUUUGCUAUACUAUUAAAAGCCAAGCUCAUGACACAUAAUCUCUAAGCAGCCAAAGAAGAAAAAAACUAAAAGCUAAGAUAUUGUAUGUACAUUUCAACUACCUUAGGUAAAGCAAUGAAAUAGGCCUAAUGUUCCAAUGAUGCAAAACCUGCAAAAUUGGGAAAUAGAAAAAUCAAUUCUUUUGGUUAUAAAUAUUCAAUUAGAUGCAUUUUAAAUAAGAACCAAACAAAAAAUACACAUAAAAGCAAGUUAUGAAGAUUGAGAGAGAAAUGAAAUAGACCUCAGCAAGAGUAGUAGUACUGCAGUUUGUAGAAGGUGCCUAAUCCUUAGUCUCUUCAAUUAGAUUCAUUCUAAAUAGGAUCCGCUGCAACUAUUUUUUCGAUGUAGGACAAUCGGGUCCUAACGUUUUCCUAGUAGAAAACUCUAAAAUAUGAUUAUAUAUCAUAAUUCAUAAACAAAAUCAGAGGAAACAUUAUGAUUAUUGAGCUAGUAUUGAAUAAUGGGUACAAAACUGAAACUUUUGGAUGCUCAGCCUUGUUUCUAGAUGAAAUUAAGCAUCCCAAAAAACCAAAACAAAUCAAUUUAACAUAAAAGUUAUUACUCACCUCAAUCGGCCGGAGAACUCAUAAUGAAAUUUCUACCCCACAAUUUUUCCGUAACCUUUUCCAUCUUAGUAUUUCUCAAUAGGACAUGGAUUCUAUAACAUUAGUUUAAAAAAAAAACCACUACAUCUGUUAAAAAGACUAGUUCCACUAGAAGUCAAGGUCUAUUAGAAGUCAUUUACACAGAUGCUUGUGCUCCAUUUCCAAUGAGGACAAUUUGUGGCAAUUGUUCCUUUGUGCUCUUCAUAGAUGACUACUCUAGGUAAACUAAUUUGUAUUUAAUCUCUGAAAAAUCUCAAGUGCUCAAUUAUUUUAAAAUUUAUAAAUUAGAAGUGGAAAAACAACCUGGGAAACAAAUUAAAGUAGUAAGAUCAGAUAAGGGAGGUGAAUAUUUUGGAAUGUAUCCAAAAAUGGGACAACAAAAGGGGACCCUUUGCUUUGUUCUUGCAGCAAGAAGGGAACAUAGCACAGUUUACAACACCAGGAACACCAUCUCAAAAUGGUGUUGCUGAAAAAAGAAACCGCACCCUUAAAGACAUGGUCAGAAGCAUGCUUUCACAAUCACAACUUCCAGAAUUCUUGUGGGGUGAAGCAAUUAAAACUGCAAAAUAUAUUCUCAAUAGGAUGCCAAGUAAAGCAAUCACUUCCACACCCUUUGAAAUAUGGAUAGGAAGAAGACUAAAUCUUGCACAUUUACACAGCUGGGGAUGCAUAUGUGAAGCAUGGUUAUAUAAUCCAAUGGAUAGAAAGUUGGAUCUUAGAACUACAAGUUGUUAUUUUGUAGGCCAUCCUGAAAAAUCCAAGGGUUUUAAAUUUUAGUGUCCACACUCUCACUCAAGAUUGGUUAAGACCAACAAUGCAAAAUUUGUGGGGGAUUGUAGUUCAUUUCAUUCUCACCCAAAGAACAGCUAUGCAUUUGAAGAAAUGAAGCGAUCUGGUAACAAUGGCAUAACAAAUUUGUCCUUGUCAACAACCAUUCUCUCUAACAUUUCAUUUACUUAGCAAUCUCAACAAGUGCUCAGAACAUUGAUCAACCAAUUCCAUCACAGAACACUACACUUAUCCCAAUUAUUGAAGCUUCUACAUCACAGCAGCAUACUUCAAACCAAAAUGUUGUAGGCUCAUAUGUACCUUCCAUCACUGAAUUGAGGAAAAUCAUAGAAAACAAGAAAACCUGCAUUAUCAAGUGAUUCUGUGACUUAUCUUAAUGAAGUGGAAUAAGAUUUUGGUGAUGAUGAUGACCACACAACCUUUACUGAAGCUAUGAAUAGUUCACAUGCCUCAUUAUGGUAUGCUGCAAUGGAAGAAGAAUUGAAUUCAAUGGCACAACAUGCAGUUUGGAGUUUGAUUGAAGGAGCCAAUGACAUGAAACCAAUUAGGAAUAAGUGGGUUUUUAAGACCAAAAGAGAUUCCAAGGGAAAUAUUGAAAGGCACAAAGCUCAAUUAGUAGCCAAGAGAUUUACACAGAAUGAAAAUUUGGAUUACACAUAAACAUUUUCACCAGUCUCAACCAAGGAUUCUUUGAGGAUAAUCAUUGCCCUUACAUCUCAUUUUAACCUUGAGCUGCAUCAGAUGGAUGUUAAGGCUGCCUUCUUGAAUUGCAGUCUUAAUGAAACAAUUUACAUGAAACAACCACAAGGAUUCAUUGAAAGGGGGAAUGAAGGUUUUGUAUGCAAGCUUAACACGUCUAUAUAUAGGCUUAAACAAGCUUCUAGCAAUGGUACAAUAAGUUUGAUCAAGUGGUAACUUCAUUUGGCUUCAGUCAAAACAAAAUUGACAAUUGUAUUUAUCUGAAGUCAACAAGAUCAGGGUUUAUUUUCAUGGUAUUGUAUGUUGAUGACAUACUCUUGGAAAGUUACAGUGUUCAACUUUUUAUUGAAACCAAGAGCAUGCUUUCAAAUAGUUUUGACAUAAAGGAUUUAGGGAGGUAGACUUUGUUUUAGGGACUGAAAUCGUGAGAGAUCGAUCCAGAGGCACUAUUGUUCUUUCAAAGAACUACAUU
RNAcentral lists this long non-coding RNA (2744 nucleotides) under Malus domestica (apple). RNAcentral's name for it is "long non-coding RNA (MDOM_LNC015596)". The record is from RNAcentral. Lineage: Eukaryota; Viridiplantae; Streptophyta; Magnoliopsida; Rosales; Rosaceae.